Molecule: ribosomal RNA, 451 nt
Filed under: uncultured bacterium
Lineage: Bacteria
Description: bacterial SSU rRNA
Rfam family: Bacterial small subunit ribosomal RNA
Source: RNAcentral
GAUGAACGCUGGCGGCGUGCCUAACACAUGCAAGUUGAGCGAUUCUCUUCGGAGAAGAGCGGCGGACGGGUGAGUAACGCGUGGGUAACCUGCCCUAUACACGCGGAUAACAUACCGAAAGGUAUGCUAAUACGGGAUAACAUAAGAGAUUCGCAUGGAUUUCUUAUCAAAGCUCCGGCGGUAUAGGAUGGACCCGCGUCUGAUUAGCUAGUUGGUGAGGUAACGGCUUACCAAGGCGACGAUCAGUAGCCGACCUGAGAGGGUGAUCGGCCACAUUGGAACUGAGACACGGUCCAAACUCCUACGGGAGGCAGCAGUGGGGAAUAUUGCACAAUGGGCGAAAGCCUGAUGCAGCAACGCCGCGUGAGCGAUGAAGGCCUUCGGUCGUAAGCUCUGUCCUCAAGGAAGAUAAUGACGGUACUUGAGGAGGAAGCCCCGGCUAACUACGUAG